RNAcentral lists this ribosomal RNA (429 nucleotides) under Actinomycetes bacterium. RNAcentral describes it as "Actinobacteria bacterium partial 16S ribosomal RNA". It matches the Rfam family "Bacterial small subunit ribosomal RNA", at positions 355 to 776 of the family's 1533-position model. Lineage: Bacteria; Bacillati; Actinomycetota; Actinomycetes. The record is from RNAcentral.
UAGGGAAUCUUCCGCAAUGGGCGAAAGCCUGACGGAGCAACGCCGCGUGAGUGAUGAAGGUCUUCGGAUCGUAAAACUCUGUUAUUAGGGAAGAACAAAUGUGUAAGUAACUAUGCACGUCUUGACGGUACCUAAUCAGAAAGCCACGGCUAACUACGUGCCAGCAGCCGCGGUAAUACGUAGGUGGCAAGCGUUAUCCGGAAUUAUUGGGCGUAAAGCGCGCGUAGGCGGUUUUUUAAGUCUGAUGUGAAAGCCCACGGCUCAACCGUGGAGGGUCAUUGGAAACUGGAAAACUUGAGUGCAGAACAGGAAAGUGGAAUUCCAUGUGUAGCGGUGAAAUGCGCAGAGAUAUGGAGGAACACCAGUGGCGAAGGCGACUUUCUGGUCUGUAACUGACGCUGAUGUGCGAAAGCGUGGGGAUCAAACAGG